RNAcentral lists this transfer RNA (66 nucleotides) under Micropterix calthella. Its description in RNAcentral is "tRNA-Pro". Lineage: Eukaryota; Metazoa; Arthropoda; Insecta; Lepidoptera; Micropterigidae. The record is from RNAcentral.
CAAAAAAUAGUUUAUUUAAAAUAAUAAUUUUGGAAAUUAUAGAAAAUAUUUAUAUAUUUUUUUUGA